RNAcentral lists this ribosomal RNA (253 nucleotides) under uncultured bacterium. RNAcentral describes it as "partial 16S ribosomal RNA". It matches the Rfam family "Bacterial small subunit ribosomal RNA", at positions 524 to 776 of the family's 1533-position model. The record is from RNAcentral.
GACAGAGGGUGCAAACGUUGCUCGGAAUUACUGGGCGUAAAGCGCGUGUAGGCGGACCUGCAAGUCGGACGUGAAAGCCCCGGGCUCAACCUGGGAAUUGCAUUUGAGACUGCGUAGCUAGGGUGCGGAAGAGGGAAGCGGAAUUUCCGGUGUAGCGGUGAAAUGCGUAGAUAUCGGAAGGAACACCAGUGGCGAAAGCGGCUUCCUGGUCCAGCACCGACGUUCAGGCACGAAAGCGUGGGGAGCAAACAGG